This is a non-coding RNA of Populus trichocarpa (black cottonwood), 131 nucleotides long. Lineage: Eukaryota; Viridiplantae; Streptophyta; Magnoliopsida; Malpighiales; Salicaceae. The record is from Rfam.
UAAUUUAUCUAGGGUAGAUCCUCAUCUAGCUAUGAUAAACUUGCACUUAACUACUUAGAAUAAUCCGUUAUCGCAAGUCCAACUACAUCAUUCUCCAUAGGUUGGAGGGAAUUCAUCCUCAAGUUUUGUUU